GGCGGGUCUCCCCGCAUUGUGGAGCGGUGAAUCUGGUCAGGUCCGGAAGGAAGCAGCCACAGCCAUUUCUGCAAGUGCCGGGGAUCAGGCUCGCCGCC
This 98-nucleotide signal recognition particle RNA is filed under the name Rugosibacter sp. Its description in RNAcentral is "signal recognition particle sRNA small type". It matches the Rfam family "Bacterial small signal recognition particle RNA". Rfam says of the family: The signal recognition particle (SRP) is a universally conserved ribonucleoprotein involved in the co-translational targeting of proteins to membranes. Archaeal SRP consists of a 7S RNA and homologues of the eukaryotic SRP19 and SRP54 proteins. Lineage: Bacteria; Pseudomonadati; Pseudomonadota; Betaproteobacteria; Nitrosomonadales; Sterolibacteriaceae. RNAcentral also lists the same sequence under 1 other name. The record is from RNAcentral.